Molecule: long non-coding RNA, 1299 nt
Organism: Venturia canescens
Lineage: Eukaryota; Metazoa; Arthropoda; Insecta; Hymenoptera; Ichneumonidae
Exons: 3
Source: RefSeq, a predicted model, not a curated record
UGGUAUAUGCUGUUUGUGGAAGGAGGCGAGCAUAGCCAAGAUGAGGAGCUUCGCGUAUUGUAAACGCGGAUAUUCAAGUAUGGGACAUUCCACAACGACAUAUCUAGCGUUUUUUCUACGCUAAGAAUGGAUUUUAAAAAAAGAGUACAGAAAAUCACGGAAUGAUGUCAAGUGCGUCAACUUGUGACAAUAUAAACCAGGAGAAAAGAGAAUUCAUUAUAAAACGUGAAGGUCACUGUCCUAACGGCUCGUCCUGGAACGCCCCAUGGAGAGAACAUAAUGCGUGAAAAUAUAAAUAAUAAAAAAGGAAACUAAACCGAAGUUGGAAAAAAUCUACCCGAGCAAUCGUUCCGCAAGCUCGGCGGACGAAAAACUGCUGACUGAUGAUCAUAAUCCCGUAGUGAUCGUCAAACGUGUCAACGGUCACGGCGAGACUCAUACAAACUCGAAAAACAUAUGGGCAAUGUGUAUAUUACAACUAACUGCGCUCGCUAUCAGUAGUUCAAACACCGCUGUUCGAUAACUCGCCGGACUGUCACCACCGCCGAACACACAGCUCGCGAGCCUUUUUUUUCUCGAUAAAUUUUCUUCAGGAUUCAACAAGUUUUGGUACCACUCGUCGAUAGGCAAGAAAUCUGUUCACGUACGCGUAUGUUUCCAUACGAAAAUAAUAUAUUAGAUCGAAGUUUUCACAAUGGUUAGAAAUUUAGAGUGAAUCUUGAGCGAAUUCGCUGUUAUUUAGAUACUGUCAAACGUCGUUUCCAAUUGCCGAAAGAUUUUGAUAAAAAAAGAUUCAAAGAUCUGCACUGCGAGAAGGUUCGAAAUUCCAUAAAACAUAUUUCAGGAAAGAGAUUCCCACGGAGUUGUUGGAAAUUCACAGACUGUAAUUGAAAUUUGUUUUGUUUAAUUUACUAUCAAAGACUAAAUCUCAAUUGAAUAAUCAAAGAUACGGAAUUAAUGGAAUACCGAAGGUCAAUCAGUUGGUUUGGCAUGGUCCCUCCGAGUUUGAAAAUUUACAGACAUUUCUUCGGUAUAUAGAGAUUGUCACGUAAGGACAAAAAUAUUGAGAGAGUUGACAAAAUCGCUCACGAAGUUUGCAAGAUAAUAGGGAAAAGUUUACCUCCAAGAAAGCCCGCAAAGCUGUGACGAUAAUGAGUUACGCACGUUAUCGCCUCGUGUAACGUGAAUUAUAACACGCGGUACGAUAAUGCUCGAGAAAAAUAACAUUUCAUUGGUGCGCGUCGUGCGAACAUCUGUUUACAAAGUUUGUCAUAUAAAUUAGCGGAAUUUAUUUACAAA